RNAcentral lists this transfer RNA (73 nucleotides) under Planctomyces sp. Its description in RNAcentral is "tRNA-Glu". It matches the Rfam family "tRNA". Rfam says of the family: Transfer RNA (tRNA) molecules are approximately 80 nucleotides in length. Their secondary structure includes four short double-helical elements and three loops (D, anti-codon, and T loops). The record is from RNAcentral. Lineage: Bacteria; Pseudomonadati; Planctomycetota; Planctomycetia; Planctomycetales; Planctomycetaceae.
GGCCCCAUCGUCUAGCGGCCUAGGACACUGGAUUUUCAGUCCAGGUACAGGGGUUCAAAUCCCCUUGGGGUCA